This 234-nucleotide ribosomal RNA is filed under the name uncultured bacterium. RNAcentral describes it as "partial 16S ribosomal RNA". It matches the Rfam family "Bacterial small subunit ribosomal RNA", at positions 99 to 334 of the family's 1533-position model. The record is from RNAcentral.
CGAACGGGCGAGUAACAUAUCGGAACGUGCCCAGUAAUGGGGGAUAGCCCGGCGAAAGCCGGAUUAAUACCGCAUACGACCUACGGGUGAAAGCGGGGGACCUGCAAGGGCCUCGCGUUAUUGGAGCGGCCGAUAUCAGAUUAGCUAGUUGGUGGGGUAAAGGCCUACCAAGGCGACGAUCUGUAGCUGGUCUGAGAGGACGACCAGCCACACUGGGACUGAGACACGGCCCAG